GAGUUUGAUCUUGGCCUCAGAUUGAACGCUGGCGGCAUGCCUUACACAUGCAAGUCGAACGGCAGGCACGGGAGCUUGCUCCUGGUGGCGAGUGGCGAACGGGUGAGUAAUGCAUCGGAACGUAUCCUGGAGUGGGGGAUAACGUAGCGAAAGUUACGCUAAUACCGCAUAUUCUGUGAGCAGGAAAGCGGGGGACCUUCGGGCCUCGCGCUCUUGGAGCGGCCGAUGUCGGAUUAGCUAGUUGGUGAGGUAAAGGCUCACCAAGGCGACGAUCCGUAGCAGGUCUGAGAGGAUGAUCUGCCACACUGGAACUGAGACACGGUCCAGACUCCUACGGGAGGCAGCAGUGGGGAAUUUUGGACAAUGGGGGCAACCCUGAUCCGAGCCAUGCCGCGUGAGUGAAGAAGGCC
Molecule: ribosomal RNA, 410 nt
Filed under: bacterium enrichment culture clone ALO1_GLFRUDD03FMKIP
Lineage: Bacteria
Description: bacterial SSU rRNA
Rfam family: Bacterial small subunit ribosomal RNA
Source: RNAcentral